RNAcentral lists this ribosomal RNA (255 nucleotides) under uncultured bacterium. RNAcentral describes it as "partial 16S ribosomal RNA". It matches the Rfam family "Bacterial small subunit ribosomal RNA", at positions 524 to 776 of the family's 1533-position model. The record is from RNAcentral.
UACGUAGGGCGCAAGCGUUGUCCGGAAUUAUUGGGCGUAAAGAGCUCGUAGGCGGUUUGUCGCGUCUGCUGUGAAAGUCCGAGGCUCAACCUCGGAUCUGCAGUGGGUACGGGCAGACUAGAGUGUGGUAGGGGAGACUGGAAUUCCUGGUGUAGCGGUGGAAUGCGCAGAUAUCAGGAGGAACACCAAUGGGCGAAGGCAGGUCUCUGGGCCACAACUGACGCUGGAGGAGCGAAAGCGUGGGGAGCAAACAGG